UGAAAGUAUGUUAACUACAUGAAUGAAAGUAAAUCCUGCAAGAAAGGAUGCAUCUUUAAUAUCGAUGAAUAGGCUGCUUCUGAAUACCAGAGAGUUGGAUAUUUUGUAUUUCUAGUGAAAUAUAUUGUGCCGAUCGCUUAAUCAAAUAAAACACAGAAACAACACUUUGAUAGUCACAUUGAUAUUGAAUUCUUCCGUAAACUAAAAUCUCUACCGACCUGUAACAGGUGGAAACCUAAAUCUAAUCCUCAAUCUUUUUAUGCUGGAGGAACGCUGAUCUAUUGCUGCACAGAUUCUCCUGAGGCCACGCUAGUAAAAGUCACAAUAAAACCAAACGCUGAUAAUUGUGUAUCUAGCUAGAGUUUCAAACAUUAAAGUGUCAUAGCAGAGGGGGUUUUAUAGACCGCCAACCAUCUGUUAGUAGUGAGAGUGAAGAAUAUCAUUGUGAAAUAUUGUCGUGAAGCGAGGACUCGGGGUCGGCUGACCCGGUCCAGACUUGACCGGAGAGGGUGACGGGAAAAAAUAGAGGAACCACCAACCUGGUGAGUCAAUUCUGGGGGCCGCGGUGGGCGGGGCUGCUGCUUCUGUUUCCAAAUGGGACAAAAACUACCCGAAGAGCACUCAACCACACUCACACACACACAAACACACACACACACACACACAGACAAACACACUUCACACUGUCGAGUGGAUCUGUUCUCUGAGGCAAUAUCUGGACUCUAAACUGGUUUUCAUUUUGAAAUUCAACAGUUUAGAGAGCAGAGGCCUUUUCUUCGAGCCUUGUAUAACAUAUAUACGACCCAUUGUGGUUGCCAUACGCCCCCCCCCCCCGGAAUCAUUAGAAGGGUCACAGAGGGUCAGACACUUUCCCUGAAGAACAAACAAGUAAAGCGUCUCCUUCUGGAGAAAAAGGCGUAGGGAGGAAACUUGGCCUGCUGCCUUCUGGCUGUUUCUUUUCUUCAUCUACAGCGAUGGAUAGAUUCUCCAGCUAUGGUGCCUCCUGGUGUAAAAGAGAUCACACUACUUCUGGGUGGAGGGUUGCUCCACCUAACCCAAACACCGGCCCUCUUUCACGGUUCCUUUCUCUUUAGAACGUCUUCCAUUCCGUGAAUUAACGGCAUAAAAGAGUAAAAGAGUUUAUAGAGUUAAAAGACUCUUGUUUCCUUUCAGGGAGAAAAGCUUUAUUGUACUAUUUUAAGGCUGUUUCUCUAUCUGACUUUAAGCCACAAAGUGCUACUGCUUUGGACCAAAACUAAAAAGCUCCUCUCGGUAAAUUAAAUAAAUACACAACGUCAUCAAUCAAGAACGGU
Molecule: long non-coding RNA, 1313 nt
Organism: Gasterosteus aculeatus aculeatus (three-spined stickleback)
Lineage: Eukaryota; Metazoa; Chordata; Actinopteri; Perciformes; Gasterosteidae
Source: Ensembl